This is a non-coding RNA of Callorhinus ursinus (northern fur seal), 1835 nucleotides long. The record is from RefSeq and is a predicted model, not a curated record. NCBI's taxonomy places the organism in Eukaryota, Metazoa, Chordata, Mammalia, Carnivora, Otariidae.
UGUGCGACGGCGCCUGCGCCGGACACCAUGCUGUCAGCCCAGCGGCGAGGUCUGGUCCUCCUACGGCUGCGGCGCCUCAGGAGGUGGCUAGGGCUCGGAACUUCUUCGUUCCUGCGGGGCCUUGGGCGAGAGCCCUUGGAGACAGCCCGGUCACUGUGUUGCGAAUCCUCGCCUAGAGACGCACGAGACAGAGAGGGACGGCGCGAAGCGUCACGGAGCAAAGCUCCCAGCACAGAGUCGCCUCCAUCUCUCCCUCUGCGCGUCCGAGGCACUGGGAUCGGAUGUCUUUCGUCACUGGAAGUCCUCAGACUGCCGACGCCAGAAGAGGAGUCACCCUCUCGAGAGCGCGAGGACUCGAGCGGAGACCAGGGCCAGCCCGGUCCCGCCCACCAGGGAUCCGGGGGUCCCUUGCCUCCCUCCUUGGCCCAGUCUGUGGCCGAGGUAGAAGAGCUUCCUGGCUCCUCUUCCUGGCCAGCUUCCAGGGAGGGGCCCUUUCGCGUUGGGGAGCUGAUCUUAGCUGAGACUGGGAAGAGAGAAACACAAUUUAAAAAGUUAUUUAGGUUGAGUAACGCCGGACACUUAAAUAGUAGCUGGGGUACUGUCCCGUUCAGCGAGAUCGUGGGAAAGUUUCCGGGCCAGAUACUGAGGAGUUCUUCUGGUAAGCACCUCAUGCUGAGGAGGCCGGCAUUGGAAGACUAUGUAUUACUGAUGAAAAGAGGGCCUGCCAUAACGUAUCCUAAGGAUAUGAGUAUGAUACUGUUGAUGAUGGAUAUCCACCCAGGUGAUACUGUUUUGGAAGCUGGCUCAGGCUCUGGUGGAAUGAGCUUAUUUUUAUCCAAAGCAGUUGGAUCACAAGGACGAGUCAUAAGUUUUGAAAUACGAAAAGACCACCAUGAAUUGGCUAAGAAGAAUUACAAAAAGUGGUGUGAUUCAUGGAAGAUGAGUCAUGUAGAAGAGUGGCCAGACAAUGUGAAUUUUAUUCAUAAGGAUAUUUUAGGAGCAACUGAAGACAUAAAAACUUUAACAUUUGAUGCGCAACAGUGGCCUUCUCACACUCACCAAGUGUCCUACAGUCUCAGAGCAUUUGUACUUGCUGUCUGUCCAUCUGGAGCACACUUCCACCCUAAAUUUCCACAGGGUAGCUUUGGACAUGUUGAAUCCUCAAGUUGCUUUGCCUGUUUUAUAUCCAAAUCUUAAACAGGGUGGUGUGUGUGCUGUAUAUCUAGCGAAUAUCACACAGGUUAUUGAACUUUUGGAUGGAAUUCGCAUCUGUGAACUUGCUCUCUCAUGUGAAAAGAUAAGUGAAGUCAUUGUCAGAGAUUGGUUGGUUUGCCUUGCAAAACAGAAAAAUGGAACUUUAGCUCAAAAAAUGGAACCUAAAAUCAACACAGAUUUACAAUUACAUUCUCAAAAGAAAAUUAGAAUUGAAGGUGAGAUGUUUCAAGAGGAUGACCAUGAAGAGUCACAUUCUGAUUUUCCAUAUGGAUCAUUUCCCUAUAUUGCUAGACCUAUACACUGGCAAACUGGUCAUACAGCUUUUCUCGUCAAGCUGAGGAAGUUUAAACCACCACAUAACUGAGUACCUCAGAUGACAGCAAUUGAUUUGAAGAUGGAAAAGUAUCAAAAUAGAACUUUAUAUUGCGAAUCACUACUUUCAUAGGUUGGAAUUGUUAGCUAUUACUAUGAAUCGUAUAACUUUUACAUACAAUUUUGAAAAAUAACAAAAGCUAAAGGAAGAUGUGUAACAUUUCAGAACUGUUUAAAUGUCCCAUUUGACACUUGUCUUGUAGUUAGUUUGACAUUUUGUAGUUAAUGAUUCCAGGCUGGUUUGGUUG